AUUGAACGCUGGCGGCAGGCCUAACACAUGCAAGUCGAACGGUAACAGGAAGCAGCUUGCUGCUUCGCUGACGAGUGGCGGACGGGUGAGUAAUGUCUGGGAAGCUGCCUGAUGGAGGGGGAUAACUACUGGAAACGGUAGCUAAUACCGCAUAAUGUCGCAAGACCAAAGAGGGGGACCUUCUGGCCUCUUGCCAUCGUAUGUGCCCAGAUGGGAUUAGCUUGUUGGUGGGGUAACGGCUCACCAAGGCGACGAUCCCUAGCUGGUCUGAGAGGAUGACCAGCCACACUGGAACUGAGACACGGUCCAGACUCCUACGGGAGGCAGCAGUGGGGAAUAUUGCACAAUGGGCGCAAGCCUGAUGCAGCCAUGCCGCGUGGAUGAAGAAGGCCUUCGGGUUGUAAAGUACUUUCAGCGGGGAAGAAGGGAGUAAAGUUAAUACCUUGGCUCAUUGACGUUACCCGCAGAAGAAGCACCGGCUAACUCCGUG
This 490-nucleotide ribosomal RNA is filed under the name uncultured bacterium. RNAcentral's name for it is "partial 16S ribosomal RNA". It matches the Rfam family "Bacterial small subunit ribosomal RNA", at positions 30 to 507 of the family's 1533-position model. The record is from RNAcentral.